ACCAUUAACCAACUGUAACCCUUCACCUGUACUGAAUGAUCUCAUAAUUGUAUGAGAGCCUAUAUGUUAGAACUAGUAACAAGAAGAAGCCCUUCUCCAAAAUGUAAGCAUGAGCCAAAAUGAACUACUCAUUGGCAUUUAAAGUUAUAAACCUAUUGUAGCAACUUAACAAGAAAAACCUACAACUGCAAACGUCAACCUUACACCAGCACAUUUCUGGAAAGAUAAAAAGAAUAGGAAGGAACUCGGCAAAUAACUAACCCCGCCUGUUUACCAAAAACAUCGCCUCCUGAUCACCCAUAGGAGGUCCAGCCUGCCCAGUGACUAAGUUAAACGGCCGCGGUACCCUAACCGUGCAAAGGUAGCGCAAUCACUUGUUCUUUAAAUGAGGACUUGUAUGAACGGCAUCACGAGGGUUAUGCUGUCUCCCUACUCUACUCAGUGAAACUGAUCUCCCCGUGAAGAAGCGGGGAUGAAAAUAUAAGACGAGAAGACCCCAUGGAGCUUUAAACUCAGUACCAACUGCCCUAAUAAUAACCUAUUACCCUUGCAGCCAUGGUCACUAGUUUUUGGUUGGGGUGACCACGGAGUAAAAUUUAACCUCCAUGAUGAAAGGAACUAAUAUCCUAACCUACGAGCUACAGCUCUAAGUAUCAACAAAUUGACUAACUGACCCAAUUACUUGAUCAACGAACCAAGUUACCCUGGGGAUAACAGCGCAAUCCAUUUCAAGAGCUCAUAUCGACAAAUGGGUUUACGACCUCGAUGUUGGAUCAGGGUAUCCCAGUGGCGCAGCCGCUACUAAUGGUUC
This 811-nucleotide ribosomal RNA is filed under the name Microhyla fissipes (ornate chorus frog). Its description in RNAcentral is "partial 16S rRNA". It matches the Rfam family "Bacterial large subunit ribosomal RNA", at positions 1528 to 2574 of the family's 2925-position model. The record is from RNAcentral. Lineage: Eukaryota; Metazoa; Chordata; Amphibia; Anura; Microhylidae.